This 1522-nucleotide ribosomal RNA is filed under the name metagenome. Its description in RNAcentral is "bacterial SSU rRNA". It matches the Rfam family "Bacterial small subunit ribosomal RNA". The record is from RNAcentral.
AGAGUUUGAUCAUGGCUCAGAUUGAACGCUGGCGGCAGGCCUAACACAUGCAAGUCGAACGGUAACAGGAAACAGCUUGCUGUUUCGCUGACGAGUGGCGGACGGGUGAGUAAUGUCUGGGAAACUGCCUGAUGGAGGGGGAUAACUACUGGAAACGGUAGCUAAUACCGCAUAACGUCGCAAGACCAAAGAGGGGGACCUUCGGGCCUCUUGCCAUCAGAUGUGCCCAGAUGGGAUUAGCUAGUAGGUGGGGUAACGGCUCACCUAGGCGACGAUCCCUAGCUGGUCUGAGAGGAUGACCAGCCACACUGGAACUGAGACACGGUCCAGACUCCUACGGGAGGCAGCAGUGGGGAAUAUUGCACAAUGGGCGCAAGCCUGAUGCAGCCAUGCCGCGUGUAUGAAGAAGGCCUUCGGGUUGUAAAGUACUUUCAGCGGGGAGGAAGGGAGUAAAGUUAAUACCUUUGCUCAUUGACGUUACCCGCAGAAGAAGCACCGGCUAACUCCGUGCCAGCAGCCGCGGUAAUACGGAGGGUGCAAGCGUUAAUCGGAAUUACUGGGCGUAAAGCGCACGCAGGCGGUUUGUUAAGUCAGAUGUGAAAUCCCCGGGCUCAACCUGGGAACUGCAUCUGAUACUGGCAAGCUUGAGUCUCGUAGAGGGGGGUAGAAUUCCAGGUGUAGCGGUGAAAUGCGUAGAGAUCUGGAGGAAUACCGGUGGCGAAGGCGGCCCCCUGGACGAAGACUGACGCUCAGGUGCGAAAGCGUGGGGAGCAAACAGGAUUAGAUACCCUGGUAGUCCACGCCGUAAACGAUGUCGACUUGGAGGUUGUGCCCUUGAGGCGUGGCUUCCGGAGCUAACGCGUUAAGUCGACCGCCUGGGGAGUACGGCCGCAAGGUUAAAACUCAAAUGAAUUGACGGGGGCCCGCACAAGCGGUGGAGCAUGUGGUUUAAUUCGAUGCAACGCGAAGAACCUUACCUGGUCUUGACAUCCACGGAAGUUUUCAGAGAUGAGAAUGUGCCUUCGGGAACCGUGAGACAGGUGCUGCAUGGCUGUCGUCAGCUCGUGUUGUGAAAUGUUGGGUUAAGUCCCGUAACGAGCGCAACCCUUAUCCUUUGUUGCCAGCGGUCCGGCCGGGAACUCAAAGGAGACUGCCAGUGAUAAACUGGAGGAGGGUGGGGAUGACGUCAAGUCAUCAUGGCCCUUACGACCAGGGCUACACACGUGCUACAAUGGCGCAUACAAAGAGAAGCGACCUCGCGAGAGCAAGCGGACCUCAUAAAGUGCGUCGUAGUCCGGAUUGGAGUCUGCAACUCGACUCCAUGAAGUCGGAAUCGCUAGUAAUCGUGGAUCAGAAUGCCACGGUGAAUACGUUCCCGGGCCUUGUACACACCGCCCGUCACACCAUGGGAGUGGGUUGCAAAAGAAGUAGGUAGCUUAACCUUCGGGAGGGCGCUUACCACUUUGUGAUUCAUGACUGGGGUGAAGUCGUAACAAGGUAACCGUAGGGGAACCUGCGGUUG